This 253-nucleotide ribosomal RNA is filed under the name uncultured bacterium. RNAcentral describes it as "partial 16S ribosomal RNA". It matches the Rfam family "Bacterial small subunit ribosomal RNA", at positions 524 to 776 of the family's 1533-position model. The record is from RNAcentral.
UACGUAGGUGGCAAGCGUUGUCCGGAUUUACUGGGCGUAAAGAGCGCGCAGGCGGUCGUGCAAGUCGCGUGUGAAAGCCCCCGGCUCAACUGGGGAGGGUCACGCGAUACUGCUCGACUCGAAGGCAGGAGAGGGAAGUGGAAUUCCCGGUGUAGUGGUGAAAUGCGUAGAUAUCGGGAGGAACACCAGUGGCGAAGGCGACUUCCUGGCCUGUUCUUGACGCUGAGACGCGAAAGCGUGGGGAGCGAACAGG